GACGAACUGUGCAAACGUUAUUCGGAAUCACUGGGCUUGAAGAGUGCGUAGGCGGUUUCGUAAGUAGGGUGUGGAAAGCCCCCCGGCUCAACCGGGGAACUGCGUCCUAAACUGCGGGGCUGGAGUGAGGUAGGGUGUGGUGGAACUUCCAGUGGAGCGGUGAAAUGUGUUGAUAUUGGAGGAACGCCGGUGGCGAAAGCGACACACUGGGCCUUGUCUGACGCUGAGGCACGAAAGCCAGGGGAGGCAAACGGG
RNAcentral lists this ribosomal RNA (255 nucleotides) under uncultured bacterium. RNAcentral's name for it is "partial 16S ribosomal RNA". It matches the Rfam family "Bacterial small subunit ribosomal RNA", at positions 524 to 776 of the family's 1533-position model. The record is from RNAcentral.